This 439-nucleotide ribosomal RNA is filed under the name uncultured bacterium. Its description in RNAcentral is "partial 16S ribosomal RNA". It matches the Rfam family "Bacterial small subunit ribosomal RNA", at positions 339 to 795 of the family's 1533-position model. The record is from RNAcentral.
CUACGGGUCGCUCCAGUGAGGAAUAUUGCACAAUGGGGGGAACCCUGAUGCAGCAACGCCGCGUGGAGGAUGACGCAUUUCGGUGUGUAAACUCCUUUUAUAUGUCAAGAAAAUGACGGUAGCAUAUGAAUAAGCGCCGGCUAACUCCGUGCCAGCAGCCGCGGUAAUACGGAGGGUGCAAGCGUUACUCGGAGUCACUGGGCGUAAAGGACGCGUAGGCGGGUUGGAAAGUCAGGUGUGAAAUCCUACAGCUUAACUGUAGAACUGCACUUGAAACUUCUAAUCUAGAGUAUGGGAGGGGGAGAUGGAAUUAGUGGUGUAGGGGUAAAAUCCGUAGAUAUCACUAGGAAUACCUAAAGCGAAGGCGAUCUCCUGGAACAUUACUGACGCUAAGGCGUGAAAGCGUGGGGAGCAAACAGGAUUAGAUACCCCGGUAGUC